CCUACAGGGGUCAGCAGUGGGGAAUAUUGCACAAUGGGGGAAACCCUGAUGCAGCGACGCCGCGUGAGUGAAGAAGUAAUUCGUUACGUAAAGCUCUAUCAGCAGGGAAGAAAUACUGACCUUACUGUCAGCAGACGGUACCUGAGUCAGAAGCACCGGCUAACUACGUUCCAGCAGCCGCGGUAAUACGUAGGGGGCAAGCGUUAUCCGGAUUUACGGGGUGUAAAGGGAGCGUAGACGGUGCGCCAAGUCUGGAGUGAAAUGCCGCAGCUUAACUACGGAAAUGCUUGGGAGACUGGCGAACUAGAGUGCGGGAGGGGUAAGCGGAAUUCCUAGUGUAGCGGUGAAAUGCGUAGAUAUUAGGAGGAACACCGGUGGCGAAGGCGGCUUACUGGACCGUAACUGACGUUGAGGCUCGAAAGCGUGGGGAGCAAACAGGAUUAGAUACCCCUGUAGUC
This 458-nucleotide ribosomal RNA is filed under the name uncultured bacterium. RNAcentral describes it as "partial 16S ribosomal RNA". It matches the Rfam family "Bacterial small subunit ribosomal RNA", at positions 338 to 795 of the family's 1533-position model. The record is from RNAcentral.